GGGCUUGCCUCAGCAGCGUGUACCCUAAAACUGAAAUGACACAGAGAGGAUUAGCAUGGCCCCCACGCAAGGAUGACACAAAUUGAUGAAGUGUUCCAUAUUUUG
RNAcentral lists this small nuclear RNA (105 nucleotides) under Physeter macrocephalus (sperm whale). Lineage: Eukaryota; Metazoa; Chordata; Mammalia; Artiodactyla; Physeteridae. The record is from RNAcentral.